RNAcentral lists this ribosomal RNA (415 nucleotides) under uncultured bacterium. Its description in RNAcentral is "bacterial SSU rRNA". It matches the Rfam family "Bacterial small subunit ribosomal RNA", at positions 361 to 776 of the family's 1533-position model. The record is from RNAcentral.
AUCUUGCGCAAUGGCCUAACGGCUGACGCAGCGACGCCGCGUGAGGGAUGACGCUCUUCGGAGUGUAAACCUCUUUUGCCCGGGACGAACUGCCAGUUUUCACUGGCUUGACGGUACCGGGUGAAUAAGCACCGGCUAACUCCGUGCCAGCAGCCGCGGUAAUACGGGGGGUGCGAGCGUUGUCCGGAAUCACUGGGCGUAAAGGGCGCGUAGGUGGUCUGAUAAGGGUGUGGUGAAAGCCCGGGGCUCAACCCCGGGUCGGCCGUGCCGACUGUUGGACUAGAGUGCUGUAGGGGCAGGCGGAAUUCCGGGUGUAGCGGUGGAAUGCGUAGAGAUCCGGAGGAAGACCGGUGGCGAAGGCGGCCUGCUGGGCAGAUACUGACACUGAGGCGCGACAGCGUGGGGAGCAAACAGG